AUCCCUUGCUGACAGAUUUUAAAAUUCAUACCGUGAGAUCAGAGCUGCAAAGGCGAGGGGGUGUUCUCGGCAACAGAUGUUUGGUAAUUAAGCAUACGGUUUCCUUGUUUUGGAGAGCUGGAGGAAUUUCAAAUUGGCAGGAUUUGUUCCAUUGGAGGAAGCUCGAGUUCUAAAGAAAAUAUUCUUACUCCCCACCUAGGUGUUAGUGGCUCAGCUUCCCAAUGACAGUAACUGGAAGAAGGAUCCACACAGAGAAAUCUGGGGAGGAGUGGGUUCCAAUGCCAAGGGAGGGCAGCUUCUUGUGAUUUGUCCACGUUGGGAACCAUGGAAGUCAUCUGCAAAUCAUUGCCAAAGAUAUGUUUUAGCUGGAGACCAGCAGGUAUAAAGGUUCAGACAUCUCAUUUGUGACCUAGAAGACAUCUCAUUUGUGACCUAGAAGGUAGGGUGGUCUCUGGAGGCCUUAGAGGGAGGGGAGGGCUUUAGGAAUUCCCGCUAAACGACAUCUAUACAGAGCCUUUCUGCUGACACGGGCCAGCAAGUGGUUAAUAUCAAAAAGCAGACAUCUGAAGAGGCACUGACACCCUCCCACUCACAGAAGGUUGGUUUUUCACCUGUGGCUUAAACGGAUAGGGAGAUUUCUUUGGCCCGAGCACCUUCUGUCCUCAAAGUGGGUUGCUCAUGUCAGUGGCAUGAGCUCCAAAGGCACCACCUUCCCCCAUGGCUGUCCCUAAGGGGGACUCUCUGCUCUGCUCUAAGGGGGAGUACUGGCCUCCGAAAGCACCCUCCAGUCUGUGGCAGCCUCCCCACCCGGAGGCCCUGUCCUCUGUCCAAACCAUUCUCUUCCCAGUGCCCACCCAGCGCCUGGCUGACCACGGUGAACAACGAGAUUCUCUGUUUCUUCUAGUCCGCUAACCUCCUGAAAUGCUGCCUCUUCCAGGAAUCCUGCUGGUUGCGCUAGAACAUUGCUCGCUGUGGCUCUCCAUGGUGGCUCUGACCCGGGUGCAAGUUCUGCAGAGAUCAAUGAGGCUGCCUUGGGGUCACUGCCCCAUUCAGCUAAGUGAUGGACUUUCUACAUCGUGCUGCCUGCGCGUUUCCCGGGCCCACGUGUCUUGGCUCACCUGGGCUGGUGGGCAUCCACAGGGGCAGGCAAGCCAGUGACUGGCAGAGUCAACUUUGCCCAGUGACUGGUGCUGGCCCAGAUGCUGGGAGUUGAGAGCACAGUGCAAUGCAUUUGGGGCUCACCAGAUGCUCUUCGGGAGCCCUAAGGGAAGCAGACUUCCCCUGGGAAAGAUCUCAACUCAGAAACCCUCUCAAGGCCUGGCUCCCCACCCUAGGAAGGGAGGAAAACGAUCGUUCCACCCAGAGAUCAAAUCGUCAAGGGGGUCAUCGAAGGGAUUUCACUGUGCAUUGGGAAUCCUUGGCACGGGAACUUCUCUGCUUCACAAAAAAUCCUUGAGUGAGAGUCUCCUACAUUUUAUGUCCUCAAAUCUAAACCUCAACUGGCAGAUUCCGGCCAGGCUGGGGGUUAACUCAGGACUCAGAGAAACCGCUCCACCAGAGGCUCUGAUGAAGGGAUCAGUCAGGAAUUCAUAAAGUAUUUAUUUAACUGCCAAAAGCACCCCCACCCUCCCUUUCUUGUAUGUUAGAAUUGAUGCAAAGUUUCCGAGACAAGCCUGCGAUUGCGGCUGUCACCAAACAAUGCCAUAUUUCUUUUCUUCUCUUAAAUUCUAGGGAUCAUUCCCUGUAAGAGGGCAAUUUGUCUGUCAGGCAGGCAAAACAGGGGCCGCUCCCUGCCCUCAUUAAACUGACAACACGGUUAUUAGCAGAAAACGAAGCCAGCCCGCCAUGAAGCUAGCCACUGUUUUAUGGCGAGCGCCAGGGAGAUAUUUUCAGUAAUUAAUUUGAUAAAUAUAUUAAUUAUGAAUUGAGUUGACAGUACAAUCAGAUUGUCAGCCUUCCAGACAGCCUCUUGUGAUAAGUAGCUCUGUGAUGAAGUGGUUGGAUUUCAAGCCUGUCAUCCUGCAGGGCAGUCCCUUAUCACCCGUCUGCCCAUUCACUCUGUAAUUUCCUGCGCAUUGUA
RNAcentral lists this long non-coding RNA (2080 nucleotides) under Homo sapiens (human). Its description in RNAcentral is "HSALNT0169386". The record is from RNAcentral. Lineage: Eukaryota; Metazoa; Chordata; Mammalia; Primates; Hominidae.